This 383-nucleotide ribosomal RNA is filed under the name marine copepod environmental sample. RNAcentral describes it as "SSU rRNA". It matches the Rfam family "Eukaryotic small subunit ribosomal RNA", at positions 587 to 972 of the family's 1831-position model. The record is from RNAcentral. Lineage: Eukaryota; Metazoa; Arthropoda; Copepoda.
AGCUCCAAUAGCGUAUAUUAAAGUUGUUGCGGUUAAAAAGCUCGUAGUUGGAUCUCGGCGGGUAGAAGGCGGUACACUGCUAAGUGUUACUGCCUUAUUACCCGUAGUUUUUGCUAGAGGGUUCAGGGGGCUCUUAAUCGAGUGUCCUGGGAUGCUAGCAGGUUUACUUUGAAAAAAUUAGAGUGCUCAAAGCAGGCCUUCGCCUUGAAUACAUUAGCAUGGAAUAAUAGAAUAGGAAGUCGUUUCUAUUUUGUUGGUUUUCGGAAAUCGACUUAAUGAUUAAUAGGGACAGUCGGGGGCAUUUGUAUUCAAACGACAGAGGUGAAAUUCUUGGACCGUUUGAAGACAAACUACUGCGAAAGCAUUUGCCAAGAAUGUUUUCA